This 208-nucleotide unclassified non-coding RNA is filed under the name Hevea brasiliensis (rubber tree). Lineage: Eukaryota; Viridiplantae; Streptophyta; Magnoliopsida; Malpighiales; Euphorbiaceae. The record is from RNAcentral.
CGCGAAUGAGACUCCAUUUCCACAACCGUGGGCUCUUAUCGGCUGGGCCGUCCAGAAAGCGUAAGGAGCCAUCCGCGCCGGCGGCUCCUAAAGCCGUUGAGCCAUCGGUUUUAUCCAACCGGCUUCUAGCCGGGUACAUGGCUUAUGAGUUUCUAACAAAAGGGACUCUGUUGGGCCGGAAGUUCGACCCGGCUCGAGCCGACGCAAG